AAAAACAUAUUUAAUAGAUAUAAUUAUUAAUAACUCCUGCUCAAUGAAUUUUAAAUAGCCGCAGCUCAUACUGUGCUAAGGUAGCAUAAUCAUUUGUCUUUUAAUUAAAGACUAGAAUGAAAGGACCCACAUUUAAAUUAUUAUUAAAUUUUAAUAACUUUAACUUUUUUUAAAUAUAAUAAAAUAUUUAUAAUUAAGAAAGACGAAAAGACCCUAUUGAACUUUACUUUAGUUUAACUGGGGUAGUUAAUUAAUAAUUAUUUUAAUUAAUAAUCAAUUAUAAAUGACCUGAUAUAAUCAAUUAUAUAAUCAAGUUACCAUAGGGAUAACAGCGCAAUAAUUUUUAUUAGCUCUUAUAUAAAAAAAUGAUUACGACCUCGAUGUUGAAUUAAUUAAUCUAAUAGAUGCAAUUAUCUAAUUAGAAAGUCUGUUCGACUUUUAAAAAAUUACAUGAUCUGAG
Molecule: ribosomal RNA, 460 nt
Filed under: Delena lapidicola
Lineage: Eukaryota; Metazoa; Arthropoda; Arachnida; Araneae; Sparassidae
Description: partial 16S ribosomal RNA
Source: RNAcentral